CACGUAGGCACCAAGCGUUGUCCGGAUUUAUUGGGCGUAAAGAGCUCGUAGGCGGCUUGUCACGUCGGGUGUGAAAGCCCGGGGCCUAACCCCGGGUCUGCAUUCGAUACGGGCAGGCUAGAGUGUGGUAGGGGAGAUCGGAAUUCCUGGUGUAGCGGUGAAAUGCGCAGAUAUCAGGAGGAACACCGGUGGCGAAGGCGGAUCUCUGGGCCAUUACUGACGCUGAGGAGCGAAAGCGUGGGGAGCGAACAGG
RNAcentral lists this ribosomal RNA (253 nucleotides) under uncultured bacterium. RNAcentral's name for it is "partial 16S ribosomal RNA". It matches the Rfam family "Bacterial small subunit ribosomal RNA", at positions 524 to 776 of the family's 1533-position model. The record is from RNAcentral.